GUGAAUCAUCGAAUUUUUGAACGCAAAUUGCACUCUCUGGUAUUCCGGAGAGUAUGCCUGUUUGAGGGUCAGUUUAAAUAAAAAUCGGUGUGGUUGCUGCCUUUCGUGGUGACGCACCGGAUUUGGGUCGUCUUGCCUUCGGUUAAGUGACCUAAAAUUGUGCAUGAUUUUUUUCGACCUAUUUAAAUUAAUUUUCCUUCCUUUUCCAUUACCAAUAC
Molecule: unclassified non-coding RNA, 218 nt
Filed under: Glomus sp.
Lineage: Eukaryota; Fungi; Glomeromycota; Glomeromycetes; Glomerales; Glomeraceae
Description: partial contains 5.8S ribosomal RNA and internal transcribed spacer 2
Rfam family: 5.8S ribosomal RNA (bases 1-71)
Source: RNAcentral